This 671-nucleotide ribosomal RNA is filed under the name Pseudomonas peli. RNAcentral describes it as "bacterial SSU rRNA". Lineage: Bacteria; Pseudomonadati; Pseudomonadota; Gammaproteobacteria; Pseudomonadales; Pseudomonadaceae. The record is from RNAcentral.
CUUGAGAGCGGCGGACGAGGUGAGUAAUGCCUAGGAAUCUGCCUAGUGGUGGGGGAUAACGUUCGGAAACGGACGCUAAUACCGCAUACGUCCUACGGGAGAAAGCGGGGGACCUUCGGGCCUCGCGCCAUUAGAUGAGCCUAGGUCGGAUUAGCUAGUUGGUGAGGUAAAGGCUCACCAAGGCGACGAUCCGUAACUGGUCUGAGAGGAUGAUCAGUCACACUGGAACUGAGACACGGUCCAGACUCCUACGGGAGGCAGCAGUGGGGAAUAUUGGACAAUGGGCGAAAGCCUGAUCCAGCCAUGCCGCGUGUGUGAAGAAGGUCUUCGGAUUGUAAAGCACUUUAAGUUGGGAGGAAGGGUAGUAACUUAAUACGUUGCUACUUUGACGUUACCGACAGAAUAAGCACCGGCUAACUUCGUGCCAGCAGCCGCGGUAAUACGAAGGGUGCAAGCGUUAAUCGGAAUUACUGGGCGUAAAGCGCGCGUAGGUGGUUCAGUAAGUUGGAUGUGAAAUCCCCGGGCUCAACCUGGGAACUGCAUCCAAACUGCUGAGCUAGAGUACGGUAGAGGGUGGUGGAAUUUCCUGUGUAGCGGUGAAAUGCGUAGAUAUAGGRAGGGAACACCAGUGGCGAAGGCGACCACCUGGACUGAUACUGACACUGAGGUGC